Non-coding RNA from Rhexocercosporidium sp. MPI-PUGE-AT-0058, 115 nucleotides. Lineage: Eukaryota; Fungi; Ascomycota; Leotiomycetes; Helotiales. The record is from the annotation of a GenBank genome assembly.
GGGGAUGUGACGAAGUGGUAUCGUGCUUCAUUUGCAAUCUGAAUUCUAGUACUUAAAACUGGAAGACAGUUUCCAAAGCUUGAAGAAAUCCUGGGUUCGAUCCCCAGCAUCUCCA